RNAcentral lists this ribosomal RNA (801 nucleotides) under uncultured archaeon. RNAcentral describes it as "bacterial SSU rRNA". It matches the Rfam family "Archaeal small subunit ribosomal RNA", at positions 39 to 841 of the family's 1478-position model. The record is from RNAcentral.
UUCGAUUAAGCCAUGCGAGUUAAAUGUUCUUCGUGAACAUAGCAGACUGCUCAGUAACACGUGGAUAACCUGCCCUUAGGACUGGCAUAACCCCGGGAAACUGGGGAUAAUUCCGGAUAGAUCAUAAAUGCUGGAAUGCUUUAUGAUUGAAAGGUUUCGACCGCCUUAGGAUGGAUCUGCGGCCUAUCAGGUUGUAGUGGGUGUAAUGUACCUACUAGCCUACGACGGGUACGGGUUGUGGAAGCAAGAGCCCGGAGAUGGAUUCUGAGACAUGAAUCCAGGCCCUACGGGGCGCAGCAGGCGCGAAAACUUUACAAUGCGGGAAACCGUGAUAAGGGAACACUGAGUGCUAGCAUUUAUGUUAGCUGUCCACAUGUGUAAAUAGCAUGUGAUAGCAAGGGCUGGGCAAGACCGGUGCCAGCCGCCGCGGUAACACCGGCAGCCCGAGUGGUGAUCACUAUUAUUGGGUCUAAAGGGUCCGUAGCCGGUUUAAUCAGUCUUCUGGGAAAUCUAAUCGCUUAACUAUUAGGCUUCCAGGGGAUACUGUUAGACUUGGGACCGGGAGAGGUAAGAGGUACUGCAGGGGUAGGAGUGAAAUCUUGUAAUCCCUGUGAGACCACCAGUGGCGAAGGCGUCUUACCAGAACGGGUCCGACGGUGAGGGACGAAAGCUGGGGGCACGAACCGGAUUAGAUACCCGGGUAGUCCCAGCUGUAAACGAUGCUCGUUAGGUGUCAGGAACGGUGCGACUGUUUCUGGUGCCGAAGGGAAGCCGUGAAACGAGCCACCUGGGAAGUACGGC